RNA transcript from Penaeus monodon (black tiger shrimp), 1195 nucleotides. RefSeq lists it as uncharacterized. The record is from RefSeq and is a predicted model, not a curated record. Lineage: Eukaryota; Metazoa; Arthropoda; Malacostraca; Decapoda; Penaeidae.
UGAGGGAGCCAGUGAAUGAAAGGUGAUUUGUGGAAGAAAAUGAUUUCCUGGCAACCGCGCGAGAUAUCCAGCAGGAGCGCGGGCCACAGACCUAGUCAGUCUCGCGGCAACUACUGAACACACACGCACCUGCUUGCAAACCCGCUCUCUAAGUCACGCUCUCCUGCUCAAAACAGGCAUUCACCAUGAUGACGCGGGCGCUUCUGCUGCUGGCUCUGGCGGCCUUGGCGGCGGCGGGACCCAUGAAGCUCUACGAGAAGACGGAGGCUGAGAAGUUCCAGAAAGUGCUUGUGCCUGUGUCCUCGACGGUGAUUCCCCUGGACGACCUCCCCGUCUACAAGGUGGGCGUUGGGUUCGGCCUCGCCACGCCCGCCCCUGGCAAGUUCAAGCCCGAGGGCGGCACCAAGCUGAUCACUAUCCACAGCGUCAAGAACAAGGCCAAGAAGCCGAAGGACUCCAACGCCGCCCUGGUCGAGGAGGUGACGAAGGAGGAGUACGAGAAACUCGCCGCCCAGUAAACAGCCGUCAGAGAAUUCAUUAACACAAGCCAAGAGAAAAAGAAAUUGAAACAAAAUCUUACCGAUGUAGCGAAUGAUGAAUAGAUCCUGUAUUCUACCAGUUCAUUUUUACUCAAUCCAAGAUUAAUUUAGAAAAUAAAUACUUGAGUGAGAGAAGGUCGUGACGGAAGAUUGUCAAAGGACGUGGCGGGGUGGAGUACCUCCCUCGGGCCGAAGGGGGCCAAAUGGGGCAAGAAGGGAACUAACGCCUACAUUACGUUAUCGGCAGCGAGGCUGGACCUGCACCCUGCUACGGGUCGGCGGUGUUGCGCUGGCCAUGCAGUGUUAAAGGCGCUCUUUUUAGGCCAACUCACACCGCGAUAAACUAUCUGGGAUUCGGGCUUCAGGGGAACAAAUAUUCUAAUAAACGUUUGGAGACUUUUAGUUCAAAAGCCUCUUUAUCGAUUUGAUAAGCCUUGCACUUAACAUAACUAGAGACACAGCAGAAAGUCGUGUUUCGUGACUGUGGUUCUCAUUCUGUUAAUCAGCUUGAUAAUACGUAACCGAAUUUACAUUCCAACAUUCUAAAGGAAACAGAUAAAGCUUUACGAAACCUGUGCCAUUAUGAGAAACUUUACUGUGAUCAAUAAAAAAUUUAUACGAAAUACUAUUUUCCCACUAAUAAACCUAAGAAAUGU